CUUCUUCUGCUCCUCAUCGGCAGCCUCACCCUCCUUGAGCCGUUCCUUCUCAGCCCUCCUCAUUGCUUUCUUGUCUUUUGAUCCCUUCUUCUGUUCAGGAGGAUUCUUGAGAAUAAACGUUGUGAGUUUAUCUCUCAUGUCAACAUCAGAUAUGAAUCCACAGGCAGCACAUUUCAUAGUGAUCAUCUGCGUCUUUGUGAUGAUUAUCUCAGUCUCAGGGUUUCCACAUCCAUAGCAUUGAACAUAUUUUUUUAUGAAAUUUUCAAGAAGACCAGCCAGCUUUGCUGUCUCAUGAGCACCAUUUACAAGAGACGUCCCGGUUUUCUCAUCGAACUUGGAUUGCGCACCAAGCUCACAUCCAAAGUACUUGGUAGUGUAAGAGGCAGGUCUGCCCAAGGCUUUUGCAAUUUCCACCAUGUUAACUACAUUAGUCUUGAUGCCAUUACCUCUACCUUCAAUUUUAGUAACCAUCUUAGGCAUCUUAUACCUAUAGAAGGCAUCAUCACGGUUUGAGGCACCAAUAUUCUGCAACGCCAUGUUGUUAAUAAACAGAAAUACUGCAGUUCUGGUUAGAAAAGAUGGGUAGCAGUAGCAGUAGCUUCAAAAGGUCCUAACGCUCCUUGAGCAGCUGGGAAAGGCCGCAUAAAAUGGAAACCGAGAUCACGUGCUUUUCUAUGACCUCCAAGCAAGUCAAGAUGCAUGCAGCCAAUAGUCUCAGCACAACUGAUCUUUUUCCUCGACGUAGGACAAUACUCUCCAAGC
This 762-nucleotide unclassified non-coding RNA is filed under the name Hevea brasiliensis (rubber tree). Lineage: Eukaryota; Viridiplantae; Streptophyta; Magnoliopsida; Malpighiales; Euphorbiaceae. The record is from RNAcentral.